Molecule: long non-coding RNA, 1501 nt
Organism: Mauremys reevesii (Reeves's turtle)
Lineage: Eukaryota; Metazoa; Chordata; Testudines; Geoemydidae
Exons: 3
Source: RefSeq, a predicted model, not a curated record
GAUAGCACAGGCAGCCCAGCCUACCAGGAGAAAAGUCUAAGAUUCUUCCUUUCAAGCAACUCCGCACACCCAACAUACUCAGCCAGUGUAUAUCAUCAUAGCUCCAUGGCAAUCAAUGUGCCCAGAUCCCCAGCAGAAAUCUGCUGCUAGCUUUGAUGAGGCUGGUGCACAGAGAAGACCCAGUCCAAAUCCAAGCUCCAAACCCUAGGUCCAAGCUCCAGCAUCUGCCAAACAGAAAAUGAGAGGACACAUUUGACUGGGGCUUUGAGAAAGGGAGCAGAAACAACUGUGAAUCCAUAACUGACUUGUUAAGACCUCCCUUAGCAGCCCAACAGACCCUUGGCUUGGAUCGAGCUCUUGUUCUGUGUUACACGUGGUGUACUGAACCUGGGCUGUUGUCACUGAUGGAGUCUGUAUCUACGGAAAACAACCUAGUCUUCUUAAUGAAGUAUUCCAGAUAAGUGACCAGACUGAGGGGCACCUCCUAUCAGACAUUAGCGCAACUGCAGUCUCCGCUAUCCCCAAGUUGAAGAGGACUCCCCACCUGUCCAACAUUAUUCAAUCUAGGCCAAAAGGGACUUCUAUGACUAUCUACUCCGACCUCUUGUGUAGCACAGGCCCUGGGGCUCUCCUGAAUUAACUCCUGCUGGAACUAGAGCAAUCUUUUAAUGCAGGGUUUGUUAAGCAACCUUUUUUCCCCACCCUUAUGAUUCUUGGACAACUCCAGGGCUGGCUACUUUGGCCAUUUCUUAGCAGCAACUCUGCUCCAGAUCUGUUAUUGCCCUGAUCUACAGUAUCUUCUCCCAUCUCACUGUGGAAGAUCUCUCUUCCUGACACACGGCAUGACUGUGAAUGCUUCUGGCUGGUCCUCCAGGGCUAACAAACAACACUUCUCAUGCAGAAUAGACAGCUGAGGGAGUUGGCAGACAGGCAGUGAAGCCUUCUCAGAAUUCAUCGCUCCCCAGGUGAAGCCCCUCAGAAGGAACCAUAGCGUUAAUCUGGGAGGCCUGCAUUUGGGAAGGCAGGAAAUCACCACUCAGACUUUCCAAGGGAAUCGUUUCCAAUCUACAGCUUGAUCCGAAGUCCACUGAAAUCAACAAAAAGGCUCCCGCGGACUUCAGUGAGCGUUGGAUUCAGGCCUGUAGUGAAGUACAGUAAGAGCCUUAAUGCAGCCUAGUUCAUCCUCCUGUCACGUGCUCCUGCAGUGCUGUAGCCAGCCUGCAGGCAAAGGCAGCGGUUUCCCUAUGAAGCACUGUUGCAAGGAGAAUGCUAGGACGGAGCAGGAAUUCACAGCUUUUCUUAUGAAGCGGAUGCUGGAGCUUUCAGGAACUUCUCAGGCUCUCCAUGCUUUUCCUAUGGCACUGGGAGCCCUCGAGGUGGGACCCAGCAGAACUGCACCAGCCCCUCUGCGCAAGGGGCUGUCCAUACCUACAGAAGGAGAGCCAGCUUUGCCGCAUACCAAUUGGACAAGUCUAUAUGGCUUGUGGUCCACAGUUUGGCU